AACGAACGCUGGCGGCAGGCUUAACACAUGCAAGUCGAGCGCAUCCUUCGGGGUGAGCGGCGGACGGGUGAGUAACGUGUGGGAACGUGCCCUCUUCUACGGAAUAGCCUCGGGAAACUGAGAGUAAUGCCGUAUACGCCCGCAAGGGGAAAGAUUUAUCGGAGGAGGAUCGGCCCGCGUUGGAUUAGGUAGUUGGUGGGGUAACGGCCUACCAAGCCGACGAUCCAUAGCUGGUUUGAGAGGAUGAUCAGCCACACUGGGACUGAGACACGGCCCAGACUCCUACGGGACGCAGCAGUGGGGAAUCUUGGACAAUGGGGGCAACGCUGAUCCAGCCAUGCCGCGUGAUCGAUGAAGGCCUUAGGGUUGUAAAGAUCUUUCAGCUGGGAAGGUAAUGACGGUACCAGCAGAAGAAGCCCCGGCUAACUCCGUG
This 433-nucleotide ribosomal RNA is filed under the name uncultured bacterium. Its description in RNAcentral is "partial 16S ribosomal RNA". It matches the Rfam family "Bacterial small subunit ribosomal RNA", at positions 29 to 507 of the family's 1533-position model. The record is from RNAcentral.